RNAcentral lists this ribosomal RNA (522 nucleotides) under Crepidacantha crinispina. Its description in RNAcentral is "partial 16S ribosomal RNA". It matches the Rfam family "Bacterial large subunit ribosomal RNA", at positions 1809 to 2611 of the family's 2925-position model. The record is from RNAcentral. Lineage: Eukaryota; Metazoa; Bryozoa; Gymnolaemata; Cheilostomatida; Crepidacanthidae.
AAAAACAUAGCUUUUUGGAUUUAUAAAAAGUGCUAUCUGCCCGGUGACUUAACUGUUUAACGGCCGCUUAUGUGCUAAGGUAGCGUAAUAAUUUGUCUUUUUAUUGGAGACUAGUAUGAAUGUUGUAACGAGGCUUAUCUGUCUCUUGUUAUUUAUUUAAAAAUUAAUAUGCAAGUGAAAAAGCUUGUAUCUUUGUGAAAGACGAGAAGACCCUAUAGAGUUUUAGUUAAGUGUUGUAAAUUUAAGGUUGGUUAAUUAUUAGUUUUUUUUACGGUUACAGGCUUUUACUGGGGCAGUAUAAGAGCCGGUUAAAACUCUUAUUAAAUAUUUUUAUGAUGGUAAAAGUAGGAUCCUCAAAGAGAAAGAAAAAAAACUACCUUAGGGAUAACAGCGUUAUUCUACCAGAGAGGUCUAAUCGAAGGUAGGGUUUGCGACCUCGAUGUUGGACUAAGAAUACUUUAAGGUGAAGAAGCUUUAAAAUGUAAGCCUGUUCGGCUUUUAAUUUCUUACAUGAUCUGAGUC